Molecule: ribosomal RNA, 253 nt
Filed under: uncultured bacterium
Lineage: Bacteria
Description: partial 16S ribosomal RNA
Rfam family: Bacterial small subunit ribosomal RNA
Source: RNAcentral
UACGGAGGGGGCUAGCGUUGUUCGGAAUUACUGGGCGUAAAGCGCGCGUAGGCGGACCUGCAAGUCGGGGGUGAAAGCCCGGGGCUCAACCUCGGAACUGCCUUCGAUACUGCGGGUCUCGAGUCCGGGAGAGGUGAGUGGAAUUCCUAGUGUAGAGGUGAAAUUCGUAGAUAUUAGGAAGAACACCAGUGGCGAAGGCGGCUCACUGGCCCGGUACUGACGCUGAGGCGCGAAAGCGUGGGGAGCGAACAGG